GACGAACGCUGGCGGCGUGCUUAACACAUGCAAGUCGAACGGAAAGGCCCGGCUUUUGUUGGGUGCUCGAGUGGCGAACGGGUGAGUAACACGUGAGUAACCUGCCCUUGACUUUGUGAUAACUUCAGGAAACUGGGGCGAAUACCGGGUAUGAGCUCCUGCUGCAUGUGGGGGGUUGGAAAGUUUCGGCGGUUGGGGAUGGACUCGCGGCUUAUCAGCUUGUUGGUGGGGUAGUGGCUUACCAAGGCUUUGACGGGUAGCCUGCCUGAGAGGGUGACCGGCCACAUUGGGACUGAGAUACGGACCAGACUCCUACCGGAGGCAGCAGGGGGGAAUCUUGCAGAAUGGGCGGAAGCCUGAUGCAGCAAUGCCGCGUGCGGGAUGACGGCCUUCGGGUUGUAAACCGAUUUCGACUGUGCCGAAGAGUGAGUGACGGUAAUGGGUAAAGAAGCCACGGCUAACUACGUG
This 468-nucleotide ribosomal RNA is filed under the name uncultured bacterium. RNAcentral's name for it is "partial 16S ribosomal RNA". It matches the Rfam family "Bacterial small subunit ribosomal RNA", at positions 28 to 507 of the family's 1533-position model. The record is from RNAcentral.